Molecule: transfer RNA, 75 nt
Filed under: Pleurocapsa sp. SU_196_0
Lineage: Bacteria; Bacillati; Cyanobacteriota; Cyanophyceae; Pleurocapsales; Pleurocapsaceae
Description: tRNA-Glu
Rfam family: tRNA
About the family: Transfer RNA (tRNA) molecules are approximately 80 nucleotides in length. Their secondary structure includes four short double-helical elements and three loops (D, anti-codon, and T loops).
Source: RNAcentral
GGUCUCGUCGUCUAAUGGUCAGGACACGCGGUUUUCACCCGACAAACAGGAGUUCGAUUCUCCUCGAGAUCACCA